UGGGAUCUGUAGUUUAAACACGAGCUUCUCGCGUGAGUUACGUCCAUAAUAAAACUACAAUUCCCAUACGUAUCUGCCCUUCACAAACAACAUGGCAGCCUCCUGUGUUACAAAAAGACUCCGCUACAAAAUGCUAAAAAGAACAUUUUUAUUGUGUCCCAAUACGUCGUGUACGGUCCGUGGAUUUAACGUAGAAUCUUCGCGAUAUCACGACCAGUUGCAAAGCACAAAUAAAAGCGUUUCCACGCAGCUGGAGGGCGUGGUCGGCCUGGAGAUCCACGCCCAGAUUCAAGCCUGCACUAAAAUGUUCUCCGGCUCGGCCGUCCACUUCCUAUCGCCUCCAAACUCCCUCGUGUCUUUCUUCGACGCCUCUUUGCCCGGUACAUUACCUGUCCUGAACAGACGAUGCGUUGAGGCAGCUGUAAUGACGGGAUUGGCCCUCAACUGCCGAAUCAACGAGAAGUCGUUUUUUGACAGGAAGCACUACUUCUACGCUGAUCUCCCUGCAGGCUACCAGAUCACGCAGCACCGGCGGCCCGUGGCGGUGGGCGGGGUGCUGAGCUACAGCCUCCUGGCCGGCGAGAAAAGGAACCAGGUGCUCCGCAAAAAGGUCCGCAUUAAGCAGAUCCAGCUGGAGCAGGACAGCGGCAAGAGCCUGCACGACGACGCCCGCGGCCAGACGCUCGUCGACCUCAACAGAGCGGGUGUGGGCCUGAUGGAGCUGGUGAUGGAGCCCGACAUGACGUGCGGCGAGGAGGCGGCGGCGGCCAUCAGGGAACUUCAGCUCAUCUUGCAGGCUCUCCGUACCUGCAAAGGAAACAUGGCGGGGGUCGCCACCGUAUGCAGUAAAUGCAGAAUGCCCCGCCCCUCCAUUGCGGGGGUUACAUACCCUAAUCCUAGACAUGGAUACGAGGGCCAGCUGAGGGUGGACGCCAACGUGUCGGUGCACAGACCGGGCGAGCCGCUGGGCGUCAGGACGGAGGUGAAGAACAUCAACAGCGUUCGAUACCUGGCCAGGGCCAUCGACUACGAGAUCCAGCGACAGAGAGAUGUCCUGCGCCGAGGAGGCGGCGUGCACAACGAGACCCGCGCCUACGACUCCAAAUCCGGGACGACCGUGCCCAUGAGGGACAAAGAGGGUCUUCAGGACUACAGGUUCAUGCCCGAGCCCAACCUUCCCCCGCUGAUAGUCUACGAAGACCCUUCCCGCGUUCCCUCAGGCGCCGACAUCCGGCGGGCGGUGGUGGUGCAGAGUCUGCGGGCCGAGCUGCCCGAGCUGCCCGGCGUGAGGAGAGACCGGCUGGUGAAGACGUACGACAUCCGGCCCGAGCACGGCUUCACCCUGCUGAACGAGGAAGGCCUGGUGGAAUACUUUGAGAGUGUGCUGAAGGCCACCAGGCGGGAGCCCAGGAAGGUGAUUGGCUGGGUGACCAACGAGCUGCUGGCCCUCCUCAAACAACAAGAUUUGAACGUCAGCCAAAGCCGCAUCCCCCCCUCCUCCAUGGCCCAGCUGCUGGAGAUCCUGGAAGAAGGAAGAAUCUCCUCUUCAGUGGCCAAGCAGGUGUUCCGGGAGAUGUGGAGGUGUUCGGGUGCAAAGACGGCGGAUCAGAUCAUCCACGAGCAGGACUUGGGCCUCGUCAGUGACACGGCGCAGCUGCACGCCAUCUGCGCCAGGGUUCUGGACUCGCAUCCGCGCGAGGUGCAGGCCUUCCGGGCGGGCAACGAGAAAGUUCUGAACAAGCUGAUGGGUUCGGUUCAGAGGGAGACCAAAGGGCGGGCCGACCCGGUUGCGGUGCGGAAGAUUCUGCGGGACAAAAUUUCUGAAACUGUAUGAGUAUUGGCUUUGUGUAUAUGAUGUACAUUUUUACAUAAUGUAACUUGCUUUCACUAAACAUGUCACAAGAACCAAUUGACAAACUCUCACUGUGUACAUUUAUUUAUUUUCUUUAUUUAUAUUUCUAACUCACACGACUUUCCACAUUAACGUAAGUGAGAUUCAAAAUUUAAAGCACAAAUAAUGAUAAUAAUUUGCGACCUGUGCUGUUUUUAGAAUACGCCUAUCCCGCCUCCUGCCCGAAGAUAGCUGGGAUAGGCUCCAGCACUCCCAUGACCCUUGUGAGGAUAAGCAGCUCAGAUAAUGGACAGAUGCCGGGCUUGAUACUCCGCCGAAGUUUCAACAAAGCUCCCGAAACCCGAGCUAACAGGUCAGCCAGAGCAUGCCGAGGUGUACGUUGAAAAGCUACGAUCGUGGACGCAACAAUUAUAUUGAUGAUAAUUGACGACACCUUGUCGAAAUGACCUUUCCCAAAUUUUAUUGCACUGCCAUUUUUUGUCCUCAACAACAAAACAAGAAUAGCAACAAAACUUUAUUGCAACAUUCGUUCUCGCUACCAAACCAAAAUGAAUUGAACAUUUAAGAUAUCAUCUCAAAGACUGCAUCAGACGCUAUUGUCUUAUUUUCUCGAUUGAGUCGAGCCAUGGCCUAAAAAUGUUAAAAUCUGAAUUAAAUUGUCACAUUUCUGAAUCGUUCCAUUCGGAUUCCUUUCAAACAGGCACUAAAAUGUGAAUGCGGGUAGCGGACGAUGUUAAAGGGUAUUUUUGACCCGCUUUUGUGGAAACUUAAAGGAGACAGAUAUAAAAUUCACUUUUUAAAAGAUCGUAUAGAGCUCGUGCACCUACGUCGCCCAAAUCACGUCACUGGCCGGAAGUGUCGGUCAAACAAACUAUUCUUAAGGCUGAGUCGAUUGGAGAUGACGCAAAAAUACAUUUUAUAGCACGACGCCCAGAGUUUUGUCCGAUACCGUUAAACGUUUAGCGGGUGAUAAUAAACGAAGGUAUGUGGGGAAAAAUGAGGGACACUCGCCCUAGAGGAGCCAUAUUUAAUGCCAAAGUCGAUUUUUUUUUUUAAGAUAUUGGACUGUUAACCCGCUUCCGCUUGUCUAGGACAACUGGAUCUACACGUGGAUCUGCUGAGUAAGUCGUCCAGAUUUACACGGAAGACUUUGAAAGCGUAGUAAAGUCUGGGUGCAUACAAAUACUUUGUCGCUGGAUCUGUUCUCAAUCAAGAAAAACCCACAUAGCGAUGGAGCCACUCAGAUUUUUUUCAAUACAAACACUAAUAUUUAAAUAAAGGACCUCUGGUUUAACACAAAUUCGCUUCAUUAACUAUGAUUGGGGGAAAAAAAAAGACAACGGGUUGACGGCUCGUGGAUGCGGAAGCGUAUUGCUGCCACACAUUAAAUUUCGAUAAACCUCUAUGUGACAGCCUUUUUUUUUUUUUUAAAUAUGCACAGUUCUCAAAUGAGUCUCUGUUUUCAGUCCAAUGCGUAUUUAAAAAAAAGAAAAUAAACCGCUGGGAUAGGCUUCAGCCCCUGUACACGGAAGCGUGUUGCGGCCACAUGUUGAACUU
This is an RNA transcript of Syngnathoides biaculeatus (alligator pipefish), 3409 nucleotides long. It is a transcript of the gene named glutamyl-tRNA(Gln) amidotransferase, subunit B, with no coding region annotated. NCBI's taxonomy places the organism in Eukaryota, Metazoa, Chordata, Actinopteri, Syngnathiformes, Syngnathidae. The transcript is spliced from 15 exons. The record is from RefSeq and is a predicted model, not a curated record.